RNAcentral lists this ribosomal RNA (1428 nucleotides) under metagenome. Its description in RNAcentral is "bacterial SSU rRNA". It matches the Rfam family "Bacterial small subunit ribosomal RNA". The record is from RNAcentral.
GUUUCCUUCGGGAAGCUAGUACAGUGGCGAACGGGUGAGUAACACGUAAGAACCUGCCCUGGGGACUGGGAUAACGUCGCGAAAGUGGCGCUAAUACCGGAUAAUAUCUACGGAUCAAAGGGGGCUUCGGCUCCCACCUGAGGAGGGGCUUGCGUCCCAUUAGCUUGCUGGUGAGGUAACGGCUCACCAAGGCUGCGAUGGGUAGCCGGCCUGAGAGGGUGUACGGCCACACUGGAACUUAGACACGGUCCAGACUCCUACGGGAGGCAGCAGUGGGGAAUAUUGGUCAAUGGGCGAAAGCCUGAACCAGCAAUGCCGUGUGAGCGAUGAAGCUUUUAGGAGUGUAAAGCUCUUUUAUGAGGGAAGAAACGUUUAUCAUCUAAUAAAUGGUACUCUUGACGGUACCUCAUGAAUAAGCCCCGGCUAACUCCGUGCCAGCAGCCGCGGUAAUACGGAGGGGGCAAGCGUUGUUCGGAAUUACUGGGCGUAAAGGGCGCGUAGGCGGCCUUGCAGGUCAGAUGUGAAAGCCCCAGGCUUAACCUGGGAAUUGCGUUUGAAACCGCAAGGCUUGAGGCUGGGAGAGGGAAGUGGAAUUCCUGGUGUAGCGGUGAAAUGCGUAGAUAUCAGGAGGAACACCGGUGGCGAAGGCGGCUUCCUGGACCAGUACUGACGCUGAGGCGCGAAAGCGUGGGGAGCGAACGGGAUUAGAUACCCCGGUAGUCCACGCUGUAAACGAUGAGCACUAGGUGUAGCGGGUAUCGACCCCUGCUGUGCCGCAGCAAACGCAUUAAGUGCUCCGCCUGGGGAGUACGUUCGCAAGAAUGAAACUCAAAGGAAUUGACGGGGCCCCGCACAAGCGGUGGAGUAUGUGGUUUAAUUCGAUGCCACGCGAAGAACCUUACCGGGGUUUGACAUAUAGGUGGUAGGAAUCCGAAAGGUGCCCGACCCUUCGGGGAGCCUAUACAGGUGCUGCAUGGCUGUCGUCAGCUCGUGUCGUGAGAUGUUGGGUUAAGUCCCGCAACGAGCGCAACCCCUACCCUUAGUUGCCAUCAGUUCGGCUGGGAACUCUAGGGGAACUGCCGGUAAUAAGCCGGAGGAAGGUGGGGAUGACGUCAAGUCCUCAUGGCCUUUAUAUCCCGGGCUACACACGUACUACAAUGGCUGGUACAAUGGGCUGCAAUAUCGUGAGGUGGAGCUAAUCUCAAAAAACCAGCCUCAAUUCGGAUUGGAGUCUGCAACUCGACUCCAUGAAGUUGGAAUCGCUAGUAAUCGCGGAUCAGCAUGCCGCGGUGAAUACGUUCCCGGGGCUUGUACACACCGCCCGUCACACCACGAAAGUUGGUUGCACUAGAAGUCACCAGGCUAACCCGCAAGGGAGGCAGGUGCCUAAGGUGUGAUUAAUGAUUGGGGUGAAGUCGUAACAAGGUA